GACUCAAUUUCUUGUCUAGCAGAAUGGAGUGUCUUGUUUUGCACAUAAAAGCAACUCUCUUCUUUAUUAAUCAGUUGCCCUAAUUGCUUCGCAUAUACCGGAAGUGUUUCCAUAACUAGUUGAGACUUCUUCUCAGUAGUAACAAACGCAAUAGUAUCAUCUGCAUAAGAGAAGUGGUUAAUACUAUCACUCUAUUCGGGUAAAUCAAAGCUCCUGAACUCUUUGUUAAAUCAAAU
RNAcentral lists this long non-coding RNA (236 nucleotides) under Capsicum annuum. RNAcentral describes it as "long non-coding RNA (CANN_LNC017993)". Lineage: Eukaryota; Viridiplantae; Streptophyta; Magnoliopsida; Solanales; Solanaceae. The record is from RNAcentral.